RNAcentral lists this ribosomal RNA (492 nucleotides) under uncultured bacterium. Its description in RNAcentral is "partial 16S ribosomal RNA". It matches the Rfam family "Bacterial small subunit ribosomal RNA", at positions 29 to 507 of the family's 1533-position model. The record is from RNAcentral.
AGUGAACGCUGGCGGUAGGCCUAACACAUGCAAGUCGAACGGCAGCACAGUAAGAGCUUGCUCUUACGGGUGGCGAGUGGCGGACGGGUGAGGAAUACAUCGGAAUCUACUUUUUCGUGGGGGAUAACGUAGGGAAACUUACGCUAAUACCGCAUACGACCUACGGGUGAAAGCAGGGGAUCUUCGCACCUUGCGCGAUUGAAUGAGCCGAUGUCGGAUUAGCUAGUUGGCGGGGUAAAGGCCCACCAAGGCGACGAUCCGUAGCUGGUCUGAGAGGAUGAUCAGCCACACUGGAACUGAGACACGGUCCAGACUCCUACGGGAGGCAGCAGUGGGGAAUAUUGGACAAUGGGCGCAAGCCUGAUCCAGCCAUACCGCGUGGGUGAAGAAGGCCUUCGGGUUGUAAAGCCCUGUUGUUGGGGAAGAAAAGCAGCGGGUUAAUACCCCGCUGUUCUGACGGUACCCAAAGAAUAAGCACCGGCUAACUUCGUG